UGGAUUGCUUAUUUAUUUGCUUAUAUAUAGUGUAUUGUUAAUUGCACGCGUCUUCAUUCUUUAUCUUUUGUUAUUUAAUUCUGCAGAUGCUGGAGUUGAGCAAGUCAAUCUGGCAAUCAAAUUCUAUUCUUAGUGUAUGCCAAAUUUGAUUAUGUCUCUUAAGGCAUUUAGUCAAGAAUUCUUUAGAGAAGCUAUCAAGGAGACGAAAAACUAUGUGAAGUAAAAGAGUAAACGGUCGGAGAUGCCCUUGUAGAUGACCUACCCAGCUUUGGAAGGACAUGGGUGGAUAAUUAUCACCGGAUUUGAUCCAAAAAACACAGGGCGUAGUUACCUUAUUCUUUUGAGAAGGCGUUCUUCUACUGGAGAUUCUGAUGACAAGAAACUGACUGGUUAUAGUGACAUAUUUAUUCUUCAAGGGUUCUUCUACUGGAGAUUCUGAUGACAAGAAGAUCAGUGAGGAGCAAAUGGAAAGCUAUUGCUUGGUUGAUUAUCAAAAAUCGAUGUUGAGAGCUACUGUCACUUUAUUGAAAAUGUUAAUCUAAUUGUAAGUUUUUUGUUUGCUUGUUCUGUAAUGCCAACAUGACGGGUAACAAAGACAAAAAGGUUGAGAGUAAUGCAUGUUUCACGUAGUCAUAUGAGAGUAUACCUCCAGCUAAAGAAUAUAGUGACUUUUCGUCUUUCUGUGUGAAUGGUAUGCCUGCUUUGGCAUCUCAUUUGAGAUUUGUUCAUUUUUAGCAGAUAGCACAUAUGUUCAAGAGCUUGAAAUGUACCUACUGUAUAUUUUUAAGAAUCCUAGGG
Molecule: long non-coding RNA, 798 nt
Organism: Lycium barbarum (goji berry)
Lineage: Eukaryota; Viridiplantae; Streptophyta; Magnoliopsida; Solanales; Solanaceae
Exons: 3
Source: RefSeq, a predicted model, not a curated record